GCCGGGUGUGGUGGCGCAUGCCUGUAAUCCCAGCUACCCAGGAGGCUGAGGCAGGAGAAUCGCUUGAACCCAGGAGGCGGAGGUUGCAGUGAGCCGAGAUCACGCCACUGCACUCCAGCCUGGGUGACAGAGUGAGACUCCAUCUCAA
RNAcentral lists this non-coding RNA (148 nucleotides) under Pan paniscus (pygmy chimpanzee). The record is from Rfam by way of RNAcentral. Lineage: Eukaryota; Metazoa; Chordata; Mammalia; Primates; Hominidae. RNAcentral also lists the same sequence under 1 other name.